CCAGCAGCCGCGGUAAUACGGAGGGUGCAAGCAUUGAUCGGAUUUACUGGGCGUAAAGGGCGCGUAGGCGGUUUUGUAAGUCAGAUGUGAAAUUCCGGGGCUCAACCUCGGAGCUGCAUUUGAAACUACAAAGCUAGAGUUCAGUUAGGGUAAACGGAAUUCCACGUGUAGCGGUGAAAUGCGUAGAUAUGUGGAAGAACACCCGUGGUGAAGACGUUACUGGCUGAGACUGACGUGAGGCCGAAAGCAUGGGAGCAACAGAUAGAUACCUGGUAGUCCAUGCCUUAAACGAUGCAUACUAGGUUAGGAGGGCUCAACCCCUCUGUACCGGAGCUAACGCAUUAAGUAUGCCGCCUGGGGAGUACGCUCGCAAGGGUGAAACUCAAAAGAAUUGACGGGGGCCCGCACAAGCAGUGGAGCAUGUGGUUUAAUUCGAUGCAACGCGAAGAACCUUACCUGGGCUCGAAAUAUAGAGGACGACAACAGAGAUGUUGUUUCUCGAAAGGGUCUUUAUAUAGGUGCUGCAUGGCUGUCGUCAGCUCGUGCCGUGAGGUGUUUGGUUAAGUCCAGCAACGAGCGCAACCCUUAUCAUUAGUUGCCAGCGCGUAAUGGCGGGAACUCUAAUGAGACUGCCUGGGUUAACCAGGAGGAAGGUGAGGAUGACGUCAAGUCCGCAUGGCCUUUAUGUCCAGGGCUACACACGUGCUACAAUGGUCGGUACAGAAGGCAGCGAAACCGUAAGGCGGAGCAAAUCCUGUAAAACCGAUCUCAGUUCAGAUUGUAGUCUGCAACUCGGCUACAUGAAGUUGGAAUUGCUAGUAAUGGCGUGUCAGCAACAACGCCGUGAAUACGUUCCCGGGCCUUGUACACACCGCCCGUCACAUCAUGGGAGUUGGUUUUACCCGAAGUCACUGACCCAACCGCAAGGAGGGAGGUGCCUAAGGUAAGGCCGAUGACUGGGAUGAAGUCGUAACAAGGUAGCCGAU
Molecule: ribosomal RNA, 986 nt
Filed under: uncultured Chlamydiales bacterium
Lineage: Bacteria; Pseudomonadati; Chlamydiota; Chlamydiia; Chlamydiales
Description: bacterial SSU rRNA
Rfam family: Bacterial small subunit ribosomal RNA
Source: RNAcentral